GUACUUGCUUCAGCAGCGCAUGCACUCAAACUGGAGUGAUACAGAGAUUAGCAUGGCCUCUGCACAAGGAUGACAUGCAAAUUCAUGAAGUGUUCCAUAUUUUU
Small nuclear RNA from Cebus imitator (Panamanian white-faced capuchin), 104 nucleotides. Lineage: Eukaryota; Metazoa; Chordata; Mammalia; Primates; Cebidae. The record is from RefSeq and is a predicted model, not a curated record.